RNAcentral lists this small RNA (919 nucleotides) under Drosophila pseudoobscura pseudoobscura. RNAcentral describes it as "GA27926". Lineage: Eukaryota; Metazoa; Arthropoda; Insecta; Diptera; Drosophilidae. The record is from RNAcentral.
CUCUUCUGCGACGAAGAAAUGAGUCGUAAUACAAAAGGGCUAUACAAAAAGCUGGCGGAUUUGAAUGAAAUGGCCAACGGCCUUGCACCACCCCAUUUGUGAACAUGAAUGUGAACUGGAUGGGACAGUAGCGUUAGCGUGUAUUCGUCAUGUAAUAAAUUGAGCAAAAUGUAAAUAAUGUAGAAGCAUAAAUCUUAAAGAAAUCGAUUCACAGCCUUCGAAAUAGGUUAUGCUCUUUUGGCCACGAAAACUGCUAAAACAUUGCGAUAGAACAACAGUUUGGAGGCGUCCCACAGUCAAUUGGAUUUCGGAUGGUACUCUGGAUGGAUAAAAGCACAAAACCUGUGCGUGGAACCGCUGGCUCUGUUUGCAUGUUGGUCAACAGGUCGGCAAAGCUGUACAAGCUCAGCUGUACAAAUUUUCUUUCCUCGUUUGUGGACCGGGAGACCCUGCACUUUUGUAUCUGGAGGAAUUUCGGGCCUCCCAAAUGCGAAUACGAAUGUGACGCUGCCAGUGACCGGCAAGAAAAUCCGUGCCGUGAACUAUAACCCGAUCACUCAACAAAUUAAUGAGAUCGAAGGCAGAAGUCACAGCAUCAAGCAGGAGCCUCUUGGCCAUCUCCGGACAGCCAUUCGACAUUAUCAUAGCCCAUAGCAUAGACGCCAUUGAAAUAGACAGCGCGGAGGGUGUGGCAUCAGCGGCCCCAGUGAACAAGGACUGUGUAUCAGCCUCCUGUCGCCAUGACGGCCAAAGACUGCCCGGCGGAUCAAAAAAUGAAAUUUAUUAAUUAUGCAGCCAGGCUCCGGUUUUCAAUUUCGCAAAAGUUUUUCGAUUUCCCGUUUUUACUAUCCGCAAGACUUCUUCGUUUUUAAAACAACAAAAAUUUCUUCGAUGAAAUGAAAAGUAAACGGCUUUUAAU